Long non-coding RNA from Mauremys mutica (yellowpond turtle), 751 nucleotides. RefSeq lists it as uncharacterized. The record is from RefSeq and is a predicted model, not a curated record. Lineage: Eukaryota; Metazoa; Chordata; Testudines; Geoemydidae. The transcript is spliced from 6 exons.
UGAUGUGUGAUUUUAAUCUAAAAUAUAUUUUCUCUGUCCUGGAGCCUACUUCAUUACCUUCUUCAGUCUGUGUUAGUGGACUUUCCCUCUUUAUCUGUAUCAAAGAACUACAGAUUCUACACAAUGGGAAGAGAUCUUUAGAACCAUAUUCUGCUAACGUUUCACACAUAGCACUCCAGCUGAAGAAUGGAACUAAACUAAAGACUGAUUGCUUAUGUCAGUCUGAAUUUCUACAAGAUCCUGUACUCUGUGGGGUUUGCUUUAACUCCCAGCUAAUCAAAAUGCAGCACAGAAUCCAAAGGAGGACGACUUCCUCUGAGUGCCCUGAGGGGCACACACUACCCAAAGGAAGUGAGAAAGAGGCAAUAUGCACAGGCACAUAAGAGAACAUCUUUGGAUCAUAAUCUAUUGCAUCAUCUUGUUCGUUGCAGCAUACAACUGUGGUAACAGGCAUCCUUUGUUAGUCACUAGGAGCAUGUGGACACAAUUCUCCACAGGUCCUGAUUCAGCAAGGGGCCUAACUGGAAGCAUGUGAGCAGUGCCAUUGACUUAACCGGGGCUAUUCAUAUUCAGAUGUUUUCUGCUCACUUCAGAUUCCUAAACCUUGGUGCAGCAUCUAUCUUUUGAAAUCUCACAUUGGUACCUUCUUUGUGUUUUGUCAAAUACUGCAGUGAAAGUGUCCUUAAAUCAAACAACAUCAUCCGAGACUACCAUAACACAAAAUAUAUGGCAGAAUGCAGGUAAAACAGAA